This 3157-nucleotide long non-coding RNA is filed under the name Triticum aestivum (bread wheat). Its description in RNAcentral is "long non-coding RNA (TAES_LNC022556)". The record is from RNAcentral. Lineage: Eukaryota; Viridiplantae; Streptophyta; Magnoliopsida; Poales; Poaceae.
GUCGGUGGGGUGACUUUUUUGAUGGCAUUGCCCAAUGCAGUUUUUGGAUUUCUACUGAGUGGUACUGUGUUUUGAGAUUUGUUUUUUUGUGUUGCUAUCUGCAGGAAAGUUCCUAGGGAUUUGAUUGAUGGAGGCAUCACUAUUUGGAGCUGGAUUAUCCAUUUUUGCAGCAUCAGCAAUGUUGUUUUCGUUUGGAAUGGCCAUUUCUCAAUUUCUAAAUCGGCUAUACUAUACUUCUUGUCAGGUUACAUUAUCUUGCUUGGUUUCAGUCUAUAUGUAGCACAGCAAUAGGUGACAUGGUUGGUUUGUAUGUUACACUAAGGAACACCACCAUAAGGAAAAGGGCAUUGCACUUUGUUUAUAUUUGGUCUGUUCCUAUUCAGUUUGCUGUAGUACUUGCUACACCAUUUGAAGUUUCUUACUGUUUGCUUCUUGCUGUUUCAUUGUAUUCAGUUAUGAUAUAUUUUUCAACUAUACAAGCACUUGGGUAAGUCAGGAAAACUGAACCAACGACAAACAUUUUACUGGUGAUGUUUUUUAUCUGAGAUGUGAAAGAUGCAUCUUGUCCCCUGAUAUAUUGGCUUAAUCUCUUGAUUUUUUCCCUGACAUGCUAAUAUAGAGCCAGAUAUGCAUGAUUCAUCAUACACAUUACAGCCAAUUAUCCAUUGGUUCUUUUAUCCAUAGAGGUGAUUUUGUUUGGACCAUUAGUCUAGGUAGUGACAUUUUGAUCGAUAAGGCACAAGUUUAUUUUCUUUUUCACUCGGGCUACACUAAAGUAAGCAUCACCGUUAGUGAAAAGAAGGCAUACAAAUCAUGAAGUCUUUGCCUUGGCUAUGUGCCUCGUUUAGUUGUCACUUAUUUAUUUCUGGGAAGUUAUUAAAUUCUCAUCGAGCUUUCCUUAUGCUUUACAUUGCUAAAGAAGAAAUUUAAAUACGCAAUAUUUUUGAUAUCCGAGGAGGUGAGAGGAGAUGAAAAAGGGUUGUAAUGUGUAAGGUUGUACUUUGGCGCGUCUCUGGCCAAUGAUGGCUGGAUCCAUCUGACGCUCUUCCAAGCAGAGCAGUGCAGAUUUGCUGACUAGUACAACAUCUAAACCUUGGCUACUCUAGCUUCUUUUUACAUCUCUUAGUAUCAACAAAUAAGUUGGUUACAGUAUAUACUUGAAGAUUGCAUCAGGCACAAAAUGCUUGGCUAAUCAACCGGUUAAUUGAGUUGUGCCUACGAAGGAUCAGUAGAAUAGUUGGUUUCUUCUAAAAUAAAUGAGGAUUAGUUUGGUUGCCAUGUAACGGUAAGGCCAGAAUGGUGGUACUGAAAAGUGGUUCUGUAAUGGUCAUAUGAGUUGUGGAGUUGGAACUUGAUUCUUUUUAAGUUGGAGUGGCUAGGUUGUCUAUAUGUAUUGCAUUAUUUUUCUACGGCGUGCUGUUCUUUCUAAUGAUUUUUUUAAAAGUUUAGUAUUUAAGUUUACGGCAUUAUUCUGCGGCAUACUGUUCUUUCUACAACAUACUGUUAAUAUCUUAUUCUUUUCAACAUUACACGGUUAAAACCUUCUGUAUAAGAUCUUGCGCUUUCAACAUCUGCUCAUGGCGCUGUGCGUAUUCUGCCAUGAACUGUUUACAUUAGAGAGUUGUGGUACCUUCAUUUGUAUGAUUCCUUUUAGCUGAUGUUGGUUGCUCAUACUGACAAAAUGUGUGUUAACAAAUGAUUGCAGAGCAGCAGAGAAACGUGUUUCUACGAAUGUGCCAAAACUGAUGGAUUUAACUACAGGUAUUGCACUAUUAUUCUACAGGUAUCGUUGUAUUGCAUUAUCCAACUGUAAGUCUGUUCUAAACUCUAAGCCCGAUGUAAAUGUGAUGGAAGAUUGGGCCAUUUAAUUUGAACCAAAAAGGGUGAUAUGCUCUCAGUUGUUUGAAUCUGUCCAGACCUGAAAAUUAGAUAUACUUUGAAAGCUUGAUGUAUGAGUAGGAGAUAGUUGAUAAAGGUGUACUCUUGUAGGAGAUUAUUAGUUGAUUACCUGCUUCUAUGUGGUGAACAAAUGAGUAAGCAGUUUAGUUGAUAAAGGUGUAGGCAACACAGCAUUUUUGUUCCAUUUUUUGGUUUGUAAGUCAAGGAUGUUUAGCCUUUGUUGAAUAUGUUAAUUGUGAAACAGUUUUGAUGCAAUUUUUGAACCGUUCAGUCUGUUUUGUUUGUGCAGUUCAUGGUACCAUAUCUGCAGGCUACAUCUUGUGUAGAUUUGGCUACCACAUUAUAUGAUGUUGUUUCACUUUGCUCAGUCAAGGUUUCAGUAAAAAAAUGAAUUGAACAUAUUUUUGUAGACAUACAAAAACGGUCUGCAUUUUUUACAUCACCCUGACAUCCAAUUCAAACUAUAUUUUCUGCCUAGACUGUUGCAUACCUAUGAGAUCAUGGGAUAACUCAGACAUGAGCCGGUGUCCAGUGUGCAGUGAGGGUGAGUAAUGUGGCAUCAGCCUAUUGUGGACCUGUGUAUUAUACUCCUUCCGAUCAAAAUUAAGUGUCGUUGUUUUAGUUCAAAAACCACGACACUUAUUUUGGAUCGGAGGGAGAGCAUUUAAGAGAUUCCUUGCAUACACAUGAUUCAGAAAAGUACAGUGUGGGAUGCCAUUAUAAACUCAUGAAGUCUGAUCCUGGUAGUGACAUGAUUUACUCUGUUUGAUCAAAUAGGUCGAAGCCAAAGCUGUUCUUAUUGAAUCUCAUGAUGCCCCUGAUGCUUGCUGCUGUAAGCAAGAAAAUUGAGUACAAGUUUCAAUGUCAACCUGAGUUUUCAUUGUGGAUGUUUGAGAGUCAACCUGAAUUUUGAAAAGAACUUUUAGGAUGAUUAGCUAUAGUACUGUGACAAAUAAUCAGGAAAGAUAAUUUUGUAGGGUGAUCAUUGUCUUUCAUAAUAAUAUUAUAGCCGUCGGCCAAACAAUGAAGGUUGCACUACAACUACUCGACUACAAGUUUUAUGUGGAGUUUCUCUGUACAGCUUGCACGAACUCAGUGAGAUCAGGAAUCAUAAUUGCUCACAUUUUUUUCUCCUGAAACGGAUGUGUCAUCCCUGCAUUUUUUUUCUCGGAAUCAAGGAUGUUUCAAACAUUGUGUGUGAGCUCACCUUCAAAAUGUGGCAACAGACCAUGCCCAUAUAUGAUCAAACAAACCAAAC